RNAcentral lists this ribosomal RNA (172 nucleotides) under uncultured bacterium. RNAcentral describes it as "partial 16S ribosomal RNA". It matches the Rfam family "Bacterial small subunit ribosomal RNA", at positions 1321 to 1500 of the family's 1533-position model. The record is from RNAcentral.
UGAAGCUGGAUUCGCUAGUAAUCGCGCAUCAGCCAUGGCGCGGUGAAUACGUUCCCGGGCCUUGUACACACCGCCCGUCAAGCCAUGGGAGCCGGGAGCGCUUGAAGUGCGUCGCCGCGAGGCGCGCCCUAGAGCGAGACCGGUGACUGGGGCUAAGUCGUAACAAGGUACC